AGAGUUUGAUCCUGGCUCAGAUGAACGCUGGCGGCAGGCCUAACACAUGCAAGUCGAACGGUAACAGGAAGCAGCUUGCUGCUUUGCUGACGAGUGGCGGACGGGUGAGUAAUGUCUGGGAAACUGCCUGAUGGAGGGGGAUAACUACUGGAAACGGUAGCUAAUACCGCAUAACGUCGCAAGACCAAAGAGGGGGACCUUCGGGCCUCUUGCCAUCGGAUGUGCCCAGAUGGGAUUAGCUUGUUGGUGGGGUAACGGCUCACCAAGGCGACGAUCCCUAGCUGGUCUGAGAGGAUGACCAGCCACACUGGAACUGAGACACGGUCCAGACUCCUACGGGAGGCAGCAGUGGGGAAUAUUGCACAAUGGGCGCAAGCCUGAUGCAGCCAUGCCGCGUGUAUGAAGAAGGCCUUCGGGUUGUAAAGUACUUUCAGCGGGGAGGAAGGGAGUAAAGUUAAUACCUUUGCUCAUUGACGUUACCCGCAGAAGAAGCACCGGCUAACUCCGU
RNAcentral lists this ribosomal RNA (508 nucleotides) under uncultured Escherichia sp. RNAcentral's name for it is "bacterial SSU rRNA". It matches the Rfam family "Bacterial small subunit ribosomal RNA", at positions 8 to 506 of the family's 1533-position model. The record is from RNAcentral. Lineage: Bacteria; Pseudomonadati; Pseudomonadota; Gammaproteobacteria; Enterobacterales; Enterobacteriaceae.